RNAcentral lists this unclassified non-coding RNA (378 nucleotides) under plant metagenome. Its description in RNAcentral is "partial contains 5.8S ribosomal RNA, internal transcribed spacer 2, and large subunit ribosomal RNA". The stretch from base 1 to 105 matches the Rfam family "5.8S ribosomal RNA", at positions 50 to 154 of the family's 154-position model. The record is from RNAcentral.
GAAAUGCGAUAAGUAAUGUGAAUUGCAGAAUUCAGUGAAUCAUCGAAUCUUUGAACGCAUCUUGCGCUCCUUGGUAUUCCUUGGAGCAUGCCUGUUUGAGUAUCAUGAAAUCUUCAAAGUAAAUCUUUUGUUAACUCAAUUGGUUUCUACUUUGGUAUUGGAGGUCUUUGCAGCUUCACACCUGCUCCUCUUUGUUCAUUAGCUGGAUCUCAGUGAUAUGCUUGGUUCCACUCGGCGUGAUAAGUUAUCUAUCGCUGAGGACACUGUAAAAGGUGGCCAAGGUAAAUGCAGAUGAACCGCUUCUAAUAGUCCAUUGACUUGGACAAUACUUUUAUGAUCUGAUCUCAAAUCAGGUAGGACUACCCGCUGAACUUAAGC